UACGUAGGGGGCAAGCGUUGUCCGGAUUUACUGGGCGUAAAGCGCGUGUAGGCGGAGACGCCAGUCCGACCUGAAAGCCCCCGGCUCAACCGGGGAUCCGGGCCGGAAACUGUGUCUCUUGAGGGCGGCAGAGGAGUGUGGAAUUCCUGGUGUAGCGGUGAAAUGCGUAGAGAUCAGGAGGAACACCCAUGGCGAAGGCAGCACUCUGGGCCGGCCCUGACGCUGAGACGCGAAAGCGUGGGGAGCGAACGGG
This 253-nucleotide ribosomal RNA is filed under the name uncultured Armatimonadota bacterium. RNAcentral's name for it is "uncultured Armatimonadetes bacterium partial 16S ribosomal RNA". It matches the Rfam family "Bacterial small subunit ribosomal RNA", at positions 524 to 776 of the family's 1533-position model. The record is from RNAcentral. Lineage: Bacteria; Bacillati; Armatimonadota.